Molecule: unclassified non-coding RNA, 622 nt
Filed under: Bombus terrestris (buff-tailed bumblebee)
Lineage: Eukaryota; Metazoa; Arthropoda; Insecta; Hymenoptera; Apidae
Description: misc RNA ENSBTSG00005029394.1
Source: RNAcentral
GAAAUGGAGAACCGAACGUGGAAACUGUUCCCGCCUACUCUAGUAAAUACAGCGAUUUUUAUUAAUAACGUUCGGACACUACUAUGUUCCACAGAUUAUUGCUUCAUGCACUAUGGUUUAGGACCACGAAUUUAAUUCAUCGUACAAUCGAGCAACCAUACUGGUGCAGGAUGAUUAGAAAGAGAAAAAAAGGAGAAAGACAAAAAGAGAGAGAAUUCUACUAAUGUCAGAGACGAAGGUGGGAUCUCUGUAUCGGGAACAAUCGAGUGAACGUUGAGGAAGAUUAGAAACUGGACGGGGAACGGAAACAUUGGAACGUUGGAGAAUGCAAGAGGAUGUAGGCUCUAUUGUCGAAGGAGAGUUUGAAAGGGGCUCGCGGAAGUGAAAAUUAAAAUGAAUGUCACAGAGAACUAGGGUCUUGUUCUUGUUCGGUAGAGUGGGGAAAAAGUACCAGGUUUUAGAGGACUGGUUCCUUUUGUGGCGAUGAAAUUUUUUUCAAGGAUGAGUACUUGAGAAAUAAUAUAUUUUUUUUUUUACUCUAUUAUGAAAAAUGUCAAAGGUGUAGAACAUUCAGAGAGUAAAACAUUCAUAGAAAAUGGAGCAGAUGUUAUAUGUUACGAAA